AUCUAGCUAACAAGUCCUAAACAGAGCGAAACGCGCGUCCUAGAU
Molecule: non-coding RNA, 45 nt
Filed under: Schistosoma margrebowiei
Lineage: Eukaryota; Metazoa; Platyhelminthes; Trematoda; Strigeidida; Schistosomatidae
Source: RNAcentral